RNAcentral lists this long non-coding RNA (4170 nucleotides) under Homo sapiens (human). Its description in RNAcentral is "HSALNT0212157". Lineage: Eukaryota; Metazoa; Chordata; Mammalia; Primates; Hominidae. The record is from RNAcentral.
CUCCCAUCUCAACAUCUGGAGUAGCUGGGACUACAGGGUGUGCACACCCGGGCUUUUUUUUUUUUUUUUUUUUUUUUUUUUUCCCUCAAUCUCCUGGGCUCAAGUGAUCCUCCUGCGUUGCUCAUCCAAGGUGCUGGUAUUACAAGGGUGAGCCACUGCACCCGGCCAUAAAGAUAUUCAGAUAUUCUUUUUGAAUAUCUGAGAGUUUCGCUCUUGUGGCCCAGGCUGGAGUGCAAUGGCAUAAUCUUGGCUAAAUGCAAUCUCCGCCUCCUAGGUUCAAGUGAUUCCCCAGCCUCAGCUUCCCGAGUAGCUGGAAUUACAGGCGCUUGUCACCAUGCCUGGCUAAUUUUUUUAUUUUUAGUAGAGACAGGGUUUCACCAUGUUGGCCAGGCUGAUCGCAAACUCCUGACCUCAGGUGAUCCGCCCACCUUGGCCUCCCAAACUGCUGAGAUUACAGGCAUGAGCCACCGCACCUGGCCCACAAAGAUAUUCUUUACAACAUUAUUCAUAAUAGAAAAAACUGAAACAAUGCAAAUGUCAAAAAAGAAAAAUUAUUAUAUGAUAGAUUAUUCCCUAGAAAUUAAGUUUUCAAAAAUAUUUAUUAAGAAAAAUUAACAAUGAUGUAGUUAAUGAAAAAAGCAGGAUUAAGAAAAACUAUGUACAUCUCAAUGAUGAUAAAAAUAUACAUGGAAAAUAAUCAGAGGGAAAUAUACCUAUAUUUAAUACUAGUUAUCGCAAAAUGGUGGGAUUACUGGUGAUUUCAAUUUUAUUUCUAUUAUUUUCUACUUUACAAAUCUUCACUAAUACACAUGAUUUUUUAAUUUUUUGAGACAGGGUCUCACCCUGCCGCUCAGGCUGGAGUGCAGUGGUGCAAUCACAGCACACUGCAGCCUCGACCUCCCGUGCUCAACCCAUCCUCCCACCUAAGCCUCCCCAGUAACUGGGACUACAAGUGUGCACCAUGCCUGGCUAGUUCUUAAAUUUUUUGUAGAGAUGGGGUGUUGCCAUGUUGUCCAGGCUGAUCUCAAAUUCCUGGGUUCCAGCUAUCCACCCACCUCAGCCUCCCUAAGUGCUGGAAUUACGGACAUGAGCCACUAUGCCCAGCUGAAUUAAUUUUAUUAUGAGAAAAAAAUUAGUUAUAAAAUGUUAUUACAAAAAAGUUAUGGUAAAUGUUUUAAUCCAUUACAAGAAAUAACAUAUUAAGGAACAAGAAUCAGAAUGGCAUAUUUUCCUCAAUAACAACCCUAGAGAUUAGAAGACAAUGAAGUCCGUGUGUGAAAAUAAAGUCUAAACCCAGCUAUCAAUUGAGUAUGAUGAUUCAAACAAAAAAAGACAUUGUCAUUCACACAAGGACCUCAAAAAAUGUCGCUCUCCAAGGCACCAUUUCUUAGGAAGCCAUUGGAGGAUGUGUUCCAGUAAAAUAAGAAAGGAAACCAAAAAAGAGGAAGAAAUGUGAUUCGGCAAACAAUGAAACCUAACCAGGAGAUUAGAGAAGGAAAGUCAUGGCAUCAUGGCUGUGCUCAGGCCCACAGAGUAAAAUCCAGACUGAAGCAAGGGAAUGAAGGACUUUGGGAGAGAAAAAAUGGGAGAUUUUUAAAGACUAAAGGAUCAUCUGAUACAGAUUUAGGCAGGAAAAAAACCUUGAUAAAUGAACACUGAAAAUUAAACGUAUGAAAAUAUAAGGAAGGUAUUAACUGUAGGAAAAAUAAAAUGCAAUACAAGAAAGAAAAUGUACCAAGAAUAUAGUACUUCAUGCUUUUGUAAACAUUUAGUAUCACGGUAAAGUAAAUGCUGAUUAUGCAUUUAGCUUAAAAUAUCAAUAUAACCAGAUUGGGAAGAUGAAAGGAGCAGGUAGGAAAGUGGUAUGAGAGAUGAAAUUUCAUCUAUCAUAUAACAGGAAAUCAACAACAUGUCUAAUAUAGAUAACUCGAGAUAAGGCAGUUUAAAAUUGUUUAGGAAAAUGGAAGUUACUAUCAGAAACAGCUAAAAGAGUUAAAGAGUUCCCUCUGGGAAAUAAGAGAGGUACAGAAGAGGGCUGCUCCUUUUCAAUAAAAGACUCUUGGUAUAUUUGAUUUUGAAAAGUGUGUGUGUGUGUGUGUGUGUGUGUGUGUAUAAAGGGUUAAAAAAAUUCUAGGCUGGGUGCGGUGGCCAUAAAACGUAUAUUUUAAAAAAAGAACUGGCCAGGCACGGUGAAUCAUGCCUGUAAUACUAGCACUUUGGGAGGCCGAGGCGGGAGAAUCACUUGAGCUCAGCAGUUUGAGACCAGCCUGGGCAACAUGGCGAAACCUCAUCUCUACAAAAACUUCAAAAAGCUAGCCAGGCGUGGAGGCGUGCACCUAUAGUUCCAGCUAUCUGGGAGGCUGAGGCAGGAGGAUCACUGGAGCCCUGAAGGUUGAGGCUUCAGUGAGCCAUAAUCAUGCCACUGCACUCCAGCCUGGACAAUAGACAGAGCCAGACCCUGUCUCAAAAAGAACCACUGGUUCUUUGGAAAGAUAAAAUAGAUGCCUCAGGCAAGCCUGGUUAAAAAGGAAAGAGAGAAAGUGAAAAUACACAAUAUUAGAAAGGAGGAAUAUACAGAAUAUAUAGAUAUGCAUACAGAAUGGAUACAGAAUGCAAAGAUAAAAAUAAUUCUAAGAGAACAUUUUGCAACUUAGGGGCAGUAAAUUGAAAAUCUAAAAGAAAUAAAGGCUGUAAUUCCAGUACUUUGGGAGGCAGAGAUGGGCGGAUCAUUUGAGCCACAAGGAGUUCAAGACCAGCCUGAGCAACAUGGAAAGACCCCAUUUCUACAAAAAUUAGCUGGGCAUAGUGGUGUGCACCUGUGGUCCCAGCUACUCGGGAGUCUGAGGCAAGAGGAGCACUUGAGCCUUAGGAGGUUGAGGCUACAGUGAAUCGUGAUGGUAACACCACAUUCCAGCCUGGGAGGCAGAGCAAGACUGUCUCAAAAAAAAAAAAAAAAAGACAGUUCUCCCAUGAGCUGGUCCAAACUGUUCCACCUUUAGAAUCAAAUUAUUUAUAAAAUAAAUAAGUGAAAUUUUAAAAAUACAUUAUUUCCUAGGAAACAAUUUGACAAUAUACAGUGAAAUCCAGAAAACCCAAGAACUCUAGUAAAGAAAACUAUUAGGCCGGGCAUGGUGGCUCACACCUGUAAUCCCAGCACUUUGGGAGGCCAAGGUGGGCUGGUCAUCUGAGGUCGGGAGUUCGAGACCAGCCUGAACAACAUGGAGAAACACUGUCACUACUAAAAAUACAAAAUUAGACAGGUGUGGUGGCGCAUGCCUGUAAUCCCAGCUACUCAGGAGACUGAGGCAGGAGAAUCGCUUGAGCUCGGGAGGCAGAGAUUGCAGUGAGCCAAGAUCGCGCCAUUGCACUCCAGCCUAGGCAACAAGGGCAAAACUCCGUCUCAAAAAAGAAAAGAAAAGAAAACUGAAUGCUCAAUAAAUAUUGGAUAAACAAAUGAAUGAGCCAAAAGACUAAAUGAAGGCUGGGCGCAGUGGCUCAUGCCUAUAAUCCCAGCACUUUGGGAGGCUGAGGCAGGCAGAUAACGAGGUCAGGAGUUCAAGACCAGCCUGGCCAACAUGGUGAAACCCUGCAUCUCUACUAAAAACUGCAAAAAUUAGCUGGGUGUGAGCCACUGUGCCCGGCUAUGAUAGGCAAUUCUAUGAAGAGGUAGUAAAAUAGAGAAUCUCCUGAAAAUAAAUUGUAUUGCAACCUACCUAUUUCUAUCCAACUUUUAGGACUGCCUUUUUCCUUACAGAUUCAGGGAAGCAGAGAGUAGAGAAGAGAAUGACUUAUACAGUGAUUAUUGAGAGACAUCAUCAAUGGCCCCUCAUCAAUGCUCAUUAUAUCUGCCUGUCACAAUUCCUAAAAUUUCCCCAUUAGAGAGUUAUUCCUUUGGCCGGGCACAGUGGCUCACACAUGUAAUCCCAGCACUUUGGAAGGCCAAGGCAGGCAGAUCACCUGCAGUCAGGAGUUUGAGACCAGACUGGCCAACAUGGUGAAACCUUGUCUCUACUAAAAAUACAAAAGUUAGCCGGGCGGGUGGUGAGCACCUGUAAUCCCAGCUACUUGGGAGGCUGAGGCAGGAAAAUCGCUUGAACCUGGGAGGCGGAGGUUGCAGUGAGCCGAGAUCACACCAUUGCACUCCACCCUGGGUGACAGAGUGAGACUCCA